This 2932-nucleotide ribosomal RNA is filed under the name Escherichia coli. RNAcentral's name for it is "bacterial LSU rRNA". It matches the Rfam family "Bacterial large subunit ribosomal RNA". The record is from RNAcentral. Lineage: Bacteria; Pseudomonadati; Pseudomonadota; Gammaproteobacteria; Enterobacterales; Enterobacteriaceae.
GGGUUGUGAGGUUAAGCGACUAAGCGUACACGGUGGAUGCCCUGGCAGUCAGAGGCGAUGAAGGACGUGCUAAUCUGCGAUAAGCGUCGGUAAGGUGAUAUGAACCGUUAUAACCGGCGAUUUCCGAAUGGGGAAACCCAGUGUGAUUCGUCACACUAUCAUUAACUGAAUCCAUAGGUUAAUGAGGCGAACCGGGGGAACUGAAACAUCUAAGUACCCCGAGGAAAAGAAAUCAACCGAGAUUCCCCCAGUAGCGGCGAGCGAACGGGGAGCAGCCCAGAGCCUGAAUCAGUGUGUGUGUUAGUGGAAGCGUCUGGAAAGGCGCGCGAUACAGGGUGACAGCCCCGUACACAAAAAUGCACAUGCUGUGAGCUCGAUGAGUAGGGCGGGACACGUGGUAUCCUGUCUGAAUAUGGGGGGACCAUCCUCCAAGGCUAAAUACUCCUGACUGACCGAUAGUGAACCAGUACCGUGAGGGAAAGGCGAAAAGAACCCCGGCGAGGGGAGUGAAAAAGAACCUGAAACCGUGUACGUACAAGCAGUGGGAGCACAGAGCAAUCUGUGUGACUGCGUACCUUUUGUAUAAUGGGUCAGCGACUUAUAUUCUGUAGCAAGGUUAACCGAAUAGGGGAGCCGAAGGGAAACCGAGUCUUAACUGGGCGUUAAGUUGCAGGGUAUAGACCCGAAACCCGGUGAUCUAGCCAUGGGCAGGUUGAAGGUUGGGUAACACUAACUGGAGGACCGAACCGACUAAUGUUGAAAAAUUAGCGGAUGACUUGUGGCUGGGGGUGAAAGGCCAAUCAAACCGGGAGAUAGCUGGUUCUCCCCGAAAGCUAUUUAGGUAGCGCCUCGUGAAUUCAUCUCCGGGGGUAGAGCACUGUUUCGGCAAGGGGGUCAUCCCGACUUACCAACCCGAUGCAAACUGCGAAUACCGGAGAAUGUUAUCACGGGAGACACACGGCGGGUGCUAACGUCCGUCGUGAAGAGGGAAACAACCCAGACCGCCAGCUAAGGUCCCAAAGUCAUGGUUAAGUGGGAAACGAUGUGGGAAGGCCCAGACAGCCAGGAUGUUGGCUUAGAAGCAGCCAUCAUUUAAAGAAAGCGUAAUAGCUCACUGGUCGAGUCGGCCUGCGCGGAAGAUGUAACGGGGCUAAACCAUGCACCGAAGCUGCGGCAGCGACGCUGAUGCGUUGUUGGGUAGGGGAGCGUUCUGUAAGCCUGCGAAGGUGUGCUGUGAGGCAUGCUGGAGGUAUCAGAAGUGCGAAUGCUGACAUAAGUAACGAUAAAGCGGGUGAAAAGCCCGCUCGCCGGAAGACCAAGGGUUCCUGUCCAACGUUAAUCGGGGCAGGGUGAGUCGACCCCUAAGGCGAGGCCGAAAGGCGUAGUCGAUGGGAAACAGGUUAAUAUUCCUGUACUUGGUGUUACUGCGAAGGGGGGACGGAGAAGGCUAUGUUGGCCGGGCGACGGUUGUCCCGGUUUAAGCGUGUAGGCUGGUUUUCCAGGCAAAUCCGGAAAAUCAAGGCUGAGGCGUGAUGACGAGGCACUACGGUGCUGAAGCAACAAAUGCCCUGCUUCCAGGAAAAGCCUCUAAGCAUCAGGUAACAUCAAAUCGUACCCCAAACCGACACAGGUGGUCAGGUAGAGAAUACCAAGGCGCUUGAGAGAACUCGGGUGAAGGAACUAGGCAAAAUGGUGCCGUAACUUCGGGAGAAGGCACGCUGAUAUGUAGGUGAAGCGACUUGCUCGUGGAGCUGAAAUCAGUCGAAGAUACCAGCUGGCUGCAACUGUUUAUUAAAAACACAGCACUGUGCAAACACGAAAGUGGACGUAUACGGUGUGACGCCUGCCCGGUGCCGGAAGGUUAAUUGAUGGGGUCAGCGCAAGCGAAGCUCUUGAUCGAAGCCCCGGUAAACGGCGGCCGUAACUAUAACGGUCCUAAGGUAGCGAAAUUCCUUGUCGGGUAAGUUCCGACCUGCACGAAUGGCGUAAUGAUGGCCAGGCUGUCUCCACCCGAGACUCAGUGAAAUUGAACUCGCUGUGAAGAUGCAGUGUACCCGCGGCAAGACGGAAAGACCCCGUGAACCUUUACUAUAGCUUGACACUGAACAUUGAGCCUUGAUGUGUAGGAUAGGUGGGAGGCUUUGAAGUGUGGACGCCAGUCUGCAUGGAGCCGACCUUGAAAUACCACCCUUUAAUGUUUGAUGUUCUAACGUUGACCCGUAAUCCGGGUUGCGGACAGUGUCUGGUGGGUAGUUUGACUGGGGCGGUCUCCUCCUAAAGAGUAACGGAGGAGCACGAAGGUUGGCUAAUCCUGGUCGGACAUCAGGAGGUUAGUGCAAUGGCAUAAGCCAGCUUGACUGCGAGCGUGACGGCGCGAGCAGGUGCGAAAGCAGGUCAUAGUGAUCCGGUGGUUCUGAAUGGAAGGGCCAUCGCUCAACGGAUAAAAGGUACUCCGGGGAUAACAGGCUGAUACCGCCCAAGAGUUCAUAUCGACGGCGGUGUUUGGCACCUCGAUGUCGGCUCAUCACAUCCUGGGGCUGAAGUAGGUCCCAAGGGUAUGGCUGUUCGCCAUUUAAAGUGGUACGCGAGCUGGGUUUAGAACGUCGUGAGACAGUUCGGUCCCUAUCUGCCGUGGGCGCUGGAGAACUGAGGGGGGCUGCUCCUAGUACGAGAGGACCGGAGUGGACGCAUCACUGGUGUUCGGGUUGUCAUGCCAAUGGCACUGCCCGGUAGCUAAAUGCGGAAGAGAUAAGUGCUGAAAGCAUCUAAGCACGAAACUUGCCCCGAGAUGAGUUCUCCCUGACUCCUUGAGAGUCCUGAAGGAACGUUGAAGACGACGACGUUGAUAGGCCGGGUGUGUAAGCGCAGCGAUGCGUUGAGCUAACCGGUACUAAUGAACCGUGAGGCUUAACCUUACAACGCCGAAGCUGUU